Molecule: ribosomal RNA, 253 nt
Filed under: uncultured bacterium
Lineage: Bacteria
Description: partial 16S ribosomal RNA
Rfam family: Bacterial small subunit ribosomal RNA
Source: RNAcentral
GACAGAGGCCUCAAGCGUUAGGCGGAAUCACUAGGCUUAAAGCGUGUGUAGGCGGACGCCUAAGUGUCUUGUGAAAUCCCCCGGCUCACCCGGGGAACUGCUGGGCAUACUGGGCGUCUUGGGCCAACUAGGGGCAACUGGAACAAGCGGUGGAGCGGUGAAAUGCGUAGAUAUCGCUUGGAACGCCGAAGGUGAAAACAGGUUGCUGGGGUUGUGCCGACGCUGAGACACGAAAGCCAGGGGAGCAAACGGG